Molecule: ribosomal RNA, 220 nt
Filed under: uncultured bacterium
Lineage: Bacteria
Description: partial 16S ribosomal RNA
Rfam family: Bacterial small subunit ribosomal RNA
Source: RNAcentral
GGGUUUAAAGGGUGCGUAGGUGGGUAUGUAAGUCAGGGGUGAAAUCCCAGGGCUCAACCCUGGAACUGCCUUUGAUACUGGGUGUCUUGAGUACGGGAGAGGUGUGUGGAACUCCGAGUGUAGAGGUGAAAUUCGUAGAUAUUCGGAAGAACACCAGUGGCGAAGGCGACACACUGGCCCGUUACUGACGCUGAGGCGCGAAAGCGUGGGGAGCAAACAG